GUGCUUCGGCAGCACAUAUGCUAAAAUUGGAACGAUAGAGAGAAGAUUAGCAUGGCCCCUGUGCAAGGAUGACACGCAAAUUCGUGAAGCGGUCCAUUUUUUU
Lepisosteus oculatus (spotted gar) is the source of this 103-nucleotide small nuclear RNA. The record is from Ensembl. Lineage: Eukaryota; Metazoa; Chordata; Actinopteri; Semionotiformes; Lepisosteidae.